CUACGGGCGGCUCCAGUGAGGAAUAUUGCACAAUGGGGGGAGCCCUGAUGCAGCAACGCCGCGUGGAGGAUGACGCAUUUCGGUGUGUAAACUCCUUUUAUAUGUCAAGAAAAUGACGGUAGCAUAUGAAUAAGCACCGGCUAACUCCGUGCCAGCAGCCGCGGUAAUACGGAGGGUGCAAGCGUUACUCGGAAUCACUGGGCGUAAAGGACGCGUAGGCGGGGUGGAAAGUCAGGUGUGAAAUCCUACAGCUUAACUGUAGAACUGCACUUGAAACUUCUAAUCUAGAGUAUGGGAGGGGGAGAUGGAAUUAGUGGUGUAGGGGUAAAAUCCGUAGAUAUCACUAGGAAUACCUAAAGCGAAGGCGAUCUCCUGGAACAUUACUGACGCUAAGGCGUGAAAGCGUGGGGAGCAAACAGGAUUAGAUACCCCAGUAGUC
Molecule: ribosomal RNA, 439 nt
Filed under: uncultured bacterium
Lineage: Bacteria
Description: partial 16S ribosomal RNA
Rfam family: Bacterial small subunit ribosomal RNA
Source: RNAcentral